Long non-coding RNA from Nematostella vectensis (starlet sea anemone), 1156 nucleotides. RefSeq lists it as uncharacterized. The transcript has 2 exons. NCBI's taxonomy places the organism in Eukaryota, Metazoa, Cnidaria, Anthozoa, Actiniaria, Edwardsiidae. The record is from RefSeq and is a predicted model, not a curated record.
AGGUUGUGGGUACUUCUCAAGGCCGGUUAAGGGGUCAAUAGGGUGCUUCCUUUUUUCAACCACGAAAGAAAACUACGGUAGUAAGCUGCGGGUUAACGCCCGCAAAGAUCGCUGGGACCUGCGGGUAAACGCCCACACGGACCACUGGGACCUGCGAUGGAGCGCCCGCAAAGGUCGCUGGUUCCCAAUGUAAGAAGUAGUUUUGUUUUAUCGGUGGAAAUUGUUCUUUUUACGGCUAGGAACCACGCUAGAAAAUGUGUUUCGGGAGUAUUUUAUAUAAUGAUUAGUUUUGUAUUUCAGUUUAUUUUUCUUUGCAGUACCUUUAAAAAUAUUGUCCAAAAAUUUUGCAGGCGCGUACCAAGGAUUGGCUGAGGCGGGUGCGCAGUCAUAGGUCUCAUAUGGAGAAAGCAUAGGAUUUGAAGAUUAUUUAAUAAGAAAUGACCCAUUUUUUGGCCGCCAGGGGGAGGGGGUGGUAAGGCCCGGGCUUAACUGGCUUAAAGGCAGGUACGCCGAUGUUUGUUAACCACUUAUGAGAAUUUAUUUCGCGUGUCGGUGUAAGUGAAAUUCCUAAUGUUAUUUUCCGUAGCUGAUUGGUCGCCGGAUUAAAGAAAUCCAACCUCGCCGCCCUUUUCCCCUUUUAGAUCUGGCUAUCUUUCAUUGAGAUUAGUGAAUUCUUAGAAAAAGUGUAACCAAACUACCUUUUCGUUUAUACGUCCGGACGGAAUAUUGUAGUUGUCAGCUAAAUUCAUGUAUUUAAACCUCUAGUUAAUUUUUACUUUCUUAAUGUGACCAGAAUGUUUUAGUGUUUUCAGUUAGUUUAAUGGCUUCCAUGUUAGUUUCCUUCUUGUAGUUUCCUUCUUGUUAAAUUUUACUCUGUUUUCAUAUACUCUAAAUUCCCUUUUGUUUUUGUUUGACCAAUAUAGUAGUGCGAAUAUAGUGCUGUCAGCUAGUUUCAUGGCUUUAAUCUAAGAUUCUUUACUAGAUAUUUUUUACUCUACCAUCGUUUGGCCGGGAGAUAACUUACCAUUCCCUUACCCAUUCCUUUCAUUUCUAUGACGAGUUGUUAUAAAUGAGAGAUCCAGUGUGUGGAUCAUUAUAAUGUAUUCGCAAACCGCGAGGUCUUGGCCCCUUGAGUCGCGCGAUCAUAAAACCUCUC